This 360-nucleotide transfer-messenger RNA is filed under the name Bacillota bacterium. It matches the Rfam family "transfer-messenger RNA". From Rfam's summary of the family: Bacterial tmRNA, also known as 10Sa RNA or SsrA, is named for its dual tRNA and mRNA-like properties. Its role is to liberate the mRNA from a stalled ribosome. To accomplish this part of the tmRNA is used as a reading frame that ends in a translation stop signal. The record is from RNAcentral. RNAcentral also lists the same sequence under 1 other name. Lineage: Bacteria; Bacillati; Bacillota.
GGGGAUGUCUAUGGUUUCGACGGGAGUGUAGAAUCAGGAUAAGCGAGCCGCAGUUGCUCAGUCUGCGUUAAAAGGGGCACGUUUAAAAUAAACGCUAAAAAAACAAACACACAGUUCGCAUUUGCUGCGUAAGGCAGCGCGACCGUCAGCUCAGAUCCACCUGCAGGUUUGAGAUCUGGCGACGACCAUGCAGGAAAACCUCAUGUGAACUCCCGGCAGCAUGAGGGACUUACGGGAUAGUCGUCCGGCAGGCCUGCCUAUGGGCGUGUCGGAGGGCGAAUAAAUGAUCAUAGGCUGCGCUCGGAGAAAUUCCUGUGGAAAUGCUUUCGGACGCGAGUUCGACUCUCGCCAUCUCCACCA